UUCUGCAUUGUAAAAUGUCUGUUUUUCAUUUCAGUAUCCUGUGGUAAGUACACUAACUUUCUAUAAUUUCAUAUUGAAAUGUUUUGAUGACUUGUAUACUGCUAUGCAAUGCUUAAUGUUUUUUACAUUUCAGUUGCCUGCGGUAAGUACACUAACUUUCUUUAAUUUUCAUAUUGAACUGUUUUGAUGACUUGUAUUCUGCUAUACAAAAUGUGUUUUUAUCAGUUCAGUUGCCUGAUGGUAAGUACAAUUUGCUUCUUUAAAUUGCAUGUUGAAAUAUAUUUGAUGACUUUUGUUCUGCUAUGCUCUUUUUCAUUUCAGUUGGGCAGAUGUAAGUACACUUCAUUUAUGUAAAAACUGAAUAUGAUUGUUGUGCUAUACAAAAUGUGCUUUUCUCAAUUUCAGGUCAGCAAUGGUAAGUAGAUUGUGUUUCUUUAUGUAUAAUUUUGUAUACAAAUUGUUUUUUUCAUCAUAGCAUGUCUUUCAUAUUUAUGCUUUGUGUAAGUAAAAUGUUCAUAAAUCAUUCUUAUCUUAAAACUAAAAAUGUAUUGUGCUAUGCAAAAUGUCUGUAUGAUUUCAGUUGCCAGAGGUGAGUACCAUUACAGUUGAAAAGUUAGUUUUGUUUAGUUAAAGUUUUGGUUCACAGUUCUGUUUGUUAUUUGGCAAAAUUUACAUGUAUGCAUUGAGUCUUGAUUUCAGCUAGAUUGUGGACUGAAGAAGAUUGCCAGCAGAGGGAUUGGAUACAAAAUACAAAGUAAGUACUAAGUUUCUUACUAAAAGUUUUGAGUUGUAUUCAUUGUGUGUUAAUAUGCUAUGAUUGCUAUGAACAUGACUUUUGUAUUUCAGCGAAGACAACAUAGGUAAGUAAAAUUGUUAUCUGUUUCAUGUUUACUGUUACAGUUCAAUAUUGUGUUUAUAAAUUGUAAGUUGUACAAACACAUUCAAAAGUUUCUGAUCAUGCUUUCGAUUUCAUUUCAGCUUUACUGCUGGACGAGUGUUAUCAACUACUAGACGAGUCAGCUUUACUACCAGGCGAGCAGUGACAACAAGGCGCCUUUGUGGAAACAACACAACAAAAAACUCUACUGCAAGACGAGCAGUGACAGCAAGGCGCCUGAACAUGCAACACAAUACAAAAAAUGCCAAUUUGCAAACCUUGAUGUGGACACCGAGUAGUCAAUACAUACGUGUGGGGUACAGCUGCGACAAAACCGUGGGUCCAUCGCACCGAUAACUUGAACAUUGGCCCGCGUAUGGACAUCAGUGCAACUUUGUGAAUCCAUGUAACUUUGUGAAUCCAUGUAACAUUGCGAAUAUGUGUCGAUCGAAAAAUGUGAACAUUCCUCACUGAAACGAACUCGGUGUUGCAAGUGGCAAGUGUUGACAGUGUGUAUGUUUAUGUUUAUGUUUUUACAUGAAAAAUAAAGGAGAUUGUUCUCCUACCUUUUUUUUCCUUGUUUUAUUGUGCUGGCCAGCAAUAUUGAUGUAUUGAUGUAUGUGUUUGUGUUUAAACUAUGCAAUACCAAAAUCAAACAAAAAAUAAACAUUAACAGUCAUUAACUGUGUUUGGGCGGCCGAGGGGUUUAAGACUCCACAAGUGUGAAGCGCACUGAUAGCACUUGGGGGUAAACACCUCGGUAUUUCGGUGCUAAAAUGUUUUCACGGUGCUUAUUUUGACGCACUGUUAGAACUACCAACCAGUAAAUGAUUGCUUGAUUUAUAAAACAAAUAUUCAGUCUCUACUUUGGCACAAGAGACUCUAAGUAUCAAAUACCAACAAUUUAGACGCAGACAAUCACAUGGUGGUACACCAGUCCGAAUAUACUCAUUGCUCUAGCCAGGAUUGCAAAUUACUUGUGUUGACUAGCAAGGCUCCCUAGUAACGGAGCAGUGUUACUGGCGUUUUUUGGGUCGAUAGUGCUUAGGUGAGGUUUUGCUCGAAUCGGGAGCGGGUCACUCGCUUGGGCGAGUUAGUUUUCGCUCGUAGUUUCCAAUCUGGCUAGAUCACUGUAAGGUUGUUUUGACUGCUAUUUGGCAAGCAGAAAGACAACAGCGGUUAAUUGACUGAGUAUGGGCGACCGAGGUAUGUAGGUGUCAAUAGACCGACUCCACAAGUUGCGAAGCGAACCGAUAGCACUUGAGGGGAAACGCCUCGGUUUUCGGUUCUAACAUGUGUUAUCCAUGCUGUCGUUACACUCUGGCAAGGCUCCUCAAUCUAUCGCGAGGGACACUCAUAAUUGCCCGCAAGCUUUAGAAUCUGACGUGGGUCGAUGCGUAUGCGAGUCCGAGGACGCGAUGGCAUUUGAUAAGGCUACCAACCAGUUGA
This is a long non-coding RNA of Dreissena polymorpha, 2326 nucleotides long. RefSeq lists it as uncharacterized. The transcript has 3 exons. The record is from RefSeq and is a predicted model, not a curated record. Lineage: Eukaryota; Metazoa; Mollusca; Bivalvia; Myida; Dreissenidae.